Molecule: ribosomal RNA, 407 nt
Filed under: Verrucomicrobiota bacterium
Lineage: Bacteria; Pseudomonadati; Verrucomicrobiota
Description: Verrucomicrobia bacterium partial 16S ribosomal RNA
Rfam family: Bacterial small subunit ribosomal RNA
Source: RNAcentral
UGGGGAAUAUUGGACAAUGGAGGAAACUCUGAUCCAGCAAUUCUGUGUGUGUGAAGAAGGUUUUAGGACUGUAAAACACUUUUAGUAGGGAAGAAAAAAAUGACGGUACCUACAGAAGAAGCAACGGCUAAAUACGUGCCAGCAGCCGCGGUAAUACGUAUGUUGCGAGCGUUAUCCGGAAUUAUUGGGCUUAAAGGGCAUCUAGGCGGUAAGACAAGUUGAAGGUGAAAACCUGUGGCUCAACCAUAGGCUUGCCUACAAAACUGUUGAACUAGAGUACUGGAAAGGUGGGUGGAACUACACGAGUAGAGGUGAAAUUCGUAGAUAUGUGUAGGAAUGCCGAUGAUGAAGAUAACUCACUGGACAGAAACUGACGCUGAAGUGCGAAAGCUAGGGGAACAAACAGG